This 578-nucleotide ribosomal RNA is filed under the name Bacillus sp. (in: firmicutes). RNAcentral describes it as "bacterial SSU rRNA". It matches the Rfam family "Bacterial small subunit ribosomal RNA", at positions 352 to 921 of the family's 1533-position model. Lineage: Bacteria; Bacillati; Bacillota; Bacilli; Caryophanales; Bacillaceae. The record is from RNAcentral.
CAGUAGGGAUCUUCCGCAAUGGACGAAAGUCUGACGGAGCAACGCCGCGUGAGUGAUGAAGGCUUUCGGGUCGUAAAACUCUGUUGUUAGGGAAGAACAAGUGCUAGUUGAAUAAGCUGGCACCUUGACGGUACCUAACCAGAAAGCCACGGCUAACUACGUGCCAGCAGCCGCGGUAAUACGUAGGUGGCAAGCGUUAUCCGGAAUUAUUGGGCGUAAAGCGCGCGCAGGUGGUUUCUUAAGUCUGAUGUGAAAGCCCACGGCUCAACCGUGGAGGGUCAUUGGAAACUGGGAGACUUGAGUGCAGAAGAGGAAAGUGGAAUUCCAUGUGUAGCGGUGAAAUGCGUAGAGAUAUGGAGGAACACCAGUGGCGAAGGCGACUUUCUGGUCUGUAACUGACACUGAGGCGCGAAAGCGUGGGGAGCAAACAGGAUUAGAUACCCUGGUAGUCCACGCCGUAAACGAUGAGUGCUAAGUGUUAGAGGGUUUCCGCCCUUUAGUGCUGAAGUUAACGCAUUAAGCACUCCGCCUGGGGAGUACGGCCGCAAGGCUGAAACUCAAAGGAAUUGACGGGGCAG